GGGAGAAUACCAGAGUGGCCAAAUGGGGCAGACUGUAAAUCUGCUGGCGUACGCCUACGGUGGUUCGAAUCCAUCUUCUCCCA
This 83-nucleotide transfer RNA is filed under the name Prevotellaceae bacterium. RNAcentral's name for it is "tRNA-Tyr". It matches the Rfam family "tRNA". From Rfam's summary of the family: Transfer RNA (tRNA) molecules are approximately 80 nucleotides in length. Their secondary structure includes four short double-helical elements and three loops (D, anti-codon, and T loops). The record is from RNAcentral. Lineage: Bacteria; Pseudomonadati; Bacteroidota; Bacteroidia; Bacteroidales; Prevotellaceae.